ACAGGGUCAGACAUAGUAGUAUGAUAGGUGUUGUUUUACAGGGUCAGUCAUAGUAGUAUGAUAGGUGUUGUUUUACAGGGUCAGUCAUAGUAGUAUUAUGAUAGGUGUUGUUUUACAGGGUCAGUCAUAGUAGUACGAUAGGUGUUGUUGUACAGGGUCAGACAUAGUAGUAUGAUAGGUGUUGUUUUACAGGGUCAGUCAUAGUAGUAUGAUAGGUGUUGUUUUACAGGGUCAGUCAUAGUAGUAUGAUAGGUGUUGUUUUACAGGGUCAGUCACAGUAGUAUGAUAGGUGUUGUUUUACAGGGUCAGUCAUAGUAGUAUGAUAGGUGUUGUUUUACAGGGUCAGUCAUAGUAGUAUGAUAGGUGUUGUUUUACAGGGUCAGUCACAGUAGUAUGAUAGGUGUUGUUUUACAGGGUCAGUCAUAGUAGUAUGAUAGGUGUUGUUUUACAGGGUCAGUCAUAGUAGUAUGAUAGGUGUUGUUUUACAGGGUCAGUCAUAGUAGUAUGAUAGGUGUUGUUUUACAGGGUCAGUCAUAGUAGUAUGAUAUGUGUUGUUUUACAGGGUCAGUCAUAGUAGUAUGAUAGGUGUUGUUUUACAGGGUCAGUCAUAGUAGUGUGAUAGGUGUUGUUUUACAGGGUCAGUCAUAGUAGUGUGAUAGGUGUUGUUUUACAGGGUCAGUCAUAGUAGUGUGAUAGGUGUUGUUUUACAGGGUCAGUCAUAGUAGUAUGAUAGGUGUUGUUUUACAGGGUCAGUCAUAGUAGUAUGAUAGGUGUUGUUUUACAGGGUCAGUCAUAGUAGUAUGAUAGGUGUUGUUUUACAGGGUCAGUCAUAGUAGUAUGAUAGGUGUUGUUUUACAGGGUCAGUCAUAGUAGUAUGAUAGGUGUUGUUUUACAGGGUCAGUCAUAGUAGUAUGAUAUGUGUUGUUUUACAGGGUCAGUCAUAGUAGUAUGAUAGGUGUUGUUUUACAGGGUCAGUCAUAGUAGUGUGAUAGGUGUUGUUUUACAGGGUCAGUCAUAGUAGUAUGAUAGGUGUUGUUUUACAGGGUCAGUCAUAGUAGUAUGAUAGGUGUUGUUUUACAGGGUCAGUCAUAGUAGUAUGAUAUGUGUUGUUUUACAGGGUCAGUCAUAGUAGUAUGAUAGGUGUUGUUUUACAGGGUCAGUCAUAGUAGUGUGAUAGGUGUUGUUUUACAGGGUCAGUCAUAGUAGUGUGAUAGGUGUUGUUUUACAGGGUCAGUCAUAGUAGUAUGAUAGGUGUUGUUUUACAGGGUCAGUCAUAGUAGUGUGAUAGGUGUUGUUUUACAGGGUCAGUCAUAGUAGUAUGAUAGGUGUUGUUUUACAGGGUCAGUCAUAGUAGUAUGAUAGGUGUUGUUGUACAGGGUCAUAGUAGUAUGAUAGGGGUUGUUUUACAGGGUCAGUCAUAGUAGUAUGAUAGGUGUUGUUUUACAGGGUCAGUCAUAGUAGUAUGAUAGGUGUUGUUUUACAGGGUCAGUCAUAGUAGUAUGAUAGGGGUUGUUUUACAGGGUCAGUCAUAGUAGUAUGAUAGGUGUUGUUUUACAGGGUCAGUCAUAGUAGUAUGAUAGGUGUUGUUGUACAGGGUCAGUCAUAGUAGUAUGAUAGGUGUUGUUUUACAGGGUCAGUCAUAGUAGUAUGAUAGGUGUUGU
Oncorhynchus keta (chum salmon) is the source of this 1661-nucleotide long non-coding RNA. RefSeq lists it as uncharacterized. The transcript is spliced from 4 exons. The record is from RefSeq and is a predicted model, not a curated record. NCBI's taxonomy places the organism in Eukaryota, Metazoa, Chordata, Actinopteri, Salmoniformes, Salmonidae.